This 406-nucleotide ribosomal RNA is filed under the name uncultured bacterium. Its description in RNAcentral is "partial 16S ribosomal RNA". It matches the Rfam family "Bacterial small subunit ribosomal RNA", at positions 30 to 526 of the family's 1533-position model. The record is from RNAcentral.
AUUGAACGCUGGCGGCAGGCCUAACACCUGCAAGUCGAACGAGUGGCGGACGGGUGAGUAAUGUCUGGGAAACUGCCUGAUGGAGGGGGAUAACUACUGGAAACGGUCGAUAAUACCGCAUACCAUCAGAUGUGCCCAGAUGGGAUUAGCUAGUUGGUGGGGUAAAGGCUCACCUGGGCGACGAUCCCUAGCUGGUCUGAGAGGAUGACCAGCCACACGGGAACUGAGCCACGGUCCAGACUCCUACGGGAGGCAGCAGUGGGGAAUAUUGCACAAUGGGCGCAAGCCUGAUGCAGCCAUGCCGAGUGUAUGAAGAAGGCCUUCGGGUUGUAAAGUACUUUCAGCGGGGAGGCGUUACCCGCAGAAGAAGCACCGGCUAACUCCGUGCCAGCAGCCGCGGUAAUUC